AUUGAACGCUGGCGGCAGGCUUAACACAUGCCAGUCGAGCGAGCGGCGGACGGGUGAGUAAUGUCUGGGAAACUGCCUGAUGGAGGGGGAUAACUACUGGCAACGGUAGCUAAUACCGCAUACCAUCAGAUGUGCCCAGAUGGGAUUAGCUAGUAGGUGGGGUAAUGGGUCACCUAGGCUACGAUCCCUAGCUGGGCUGAGAGGAUGGCCAGACACACGUGAACGGAGACACGGUCCAUGCUCCUACGUGAGGCAGCAGGGGGGAAUAUUGCACAAUGGGCGCAAGCCUGAUGCAGCCAUGCCGCGUGUGUGAAGAAGGCCUUUGGGUUGUAAAGAACUUUCAGCGAGGAGGCGUUACUCGCAGAAGAAGCACCGGCUAACUCCGUGCCAGCAGCCGCGGUAAUAC
Molecule: ribosomal RNA, 406 nt
Filed under: uncultured bacterium
Lineage: Bacteria
Description: partial 16S ribosomal RNA
Rfam family: Bacterial small subunit ribosomal RNA
Source: RNAcentral